RNAcentral lists this ribosomal RNA (253 nucleotides) under uncultured bacterium. RNAcentral's name for it is "partial 16S ribosomal RNA". It matches the Rfam family "Bacterial small subunit ribosomal RNA", at positions 524 to 776 of the family's 1533-position model. The record is from RNAcentral.
UACGUAGGAGGCAAGCGUUGUCCGGAAUUACUGGGCGUAAAGCGCGUGUAGGUGGUGGGACAAGUCUGCUGUGAAAGCGCCUGGCUUAACCGGGCGAGGUCGGCGGAAACUGUCCGACUAGAGGACGGUAGAGGGGGGUGGAAUUCCCGGUGUAGUGGUGAAAUGCGCAGAUAUCAGGAAGAACACCCGUGGCGAAGGCGGCUCUCUGGAACGCAACUGACGCUGAGACGCGAAAGCGUGGGGAGCAAACAGG